RNAcentral lists this ribosomal RNA (472 nucleotides) under uncultured bacterium. RNAcentral describes it as "bacterial SSU rRNA". It matches the Rfam family "Bacterial small subunit ribosomal RNA", at positions 33 to 507 of the family's 1533-position model. The record is from RNAcentral.
GACGACGCUGGCGGCGUGCUUAACACAUGCAAGUCGAACGGGCUUCAUCGGAAAGCUUGCUUAAGGUGAAGUUAGUGGCGGACGGGUGAGUAACACGUGGAUAACCUGCCUAUCACACCGGGAUAACACCGUGAAAAUGGUGCUAAUACCGGAUAAUCUGUCGAGUCCGCAUGGAAAUGACAGGAAAGAUUGUAUCGGUGAUAGAGGGGUCCGCGGCUGAUUAGCUAGUUGGUGAGGUAACGGCCCACCAAGGCGACGAUCAGUAGCCGGCCUGAGAGGGUGGACGGCCACACUGGGACUGAGACACGGCCCAGACUCCUACGGGAGGCAGCAGUGGGGAAUCUUCCGCAAUGGGCGCAAGCCUGACGGAGCAACGCCGCGUGGGUGAAGAAGGCCUUCGGGUUGUAAAGCCCUGUCUUCAGGGAUGAAGGAGAUGACGGUACCUGAGGAGGAAGCCACGGCUAACUACGUG